This 850-nucleotide ribosomal RNA is filed under the name Bacillus sp. MY-CA110. Its description in RNAcentral is "bacterial SSU rRNA". It matches the Rfam family "Bacterial small subunit ribosomal RNA", at positions 81 to 915 of the family's 1533-position model. Lineage: Bacteria; Bacillati; Bacillota; Bacilli; Caryophanales; Bacillaceae. The record is from RNAcentral.
GCUCCUUUAAGUUAGCGGCGGACGGGUGAGUAACACGUGGGCAACCUGCCUGUAAGACUGGGAUAACUUCGGGAAACCGGAGCUAAUACCGGAUAACAUAUGAGACCACAUGGUCUUAUAUUGAAAGAUGGCCUCGGCUAUCACUUACAGAUGGGCCCGCGGCGCAUUAGCUAGUUGGUGAGGUAACGGCUCACCAAGGCAACGAUGCGUAGCCGACCUGAGAGGGUGAUCGGCCACACUGGGACUGAGACACGGCCCAGACUCCUACGGGAGGCAGCAGUAGGGAAUCUUCCGCAAUGGACGAAAGUCUGACGGAGCAACGCCGCGUGAACGAUGAAGGCCUUCGGGUCGUAAAGUUCUGUUGUUAGGGAAGAACAAGUACCGUUCGAAUAGGGCGGUACCUUGACGGUACCUAACCAGAAAGCCACGGCUAACUACGUGCCAGCAGCCGCGGUAAUACGUAGGUGGCAAGCGUUAUCCGGAAUUAUUGGGCGUAAAGCGCGCGCAGGUGGUUUCUUAAGUCUGAUGUGAAAGCCCACGGCUCAACCGUGGAGGGUCAUUGGAAACUGGGGAACUUGAGUGCAGAAGAGGAAAGUGGAAUUCCAAGUGUAGCGGUGAAAUGCGUAGAGAUUUGGAGGAACACCAGUGGCGAAGGCGACUUUCUGGUCUGUAACUGACACUGAGGCGCGAAAGCGUGGGGAGCGAACAGGAUUAGAUACCCUGGUAGUCCACGCCGUAAACGAUGAGUGCUAAGUGUUAGAGGGUUUCCGCCCUUUAGUGCUGCAGCUAACGCAUUAAGCACUCCGCCUGGGGAGUACGGUCGCAAGACUGAAACUCAAAGGAAUUGACG